AAGCACAGGAACGAGCAUAGAGACAAGAAGCUCGUGUAUAUAAAUAGCUAGUUAGGGUCGAUGGACAAGCUAAAGAGGCGAAUGCGAAUCGCAAGGAUUCAUUCACCUGCACCGAUCGCCAAUCUUCGUGAAGGAAAAAUGUAUCUCCUUCACCGAAUUCCUGGUAUAUACGGUGUCAUUUCAGUCAUUUCAGUAAAGAGUGUGUGUGAAUUCAAUGUGGAAAGAGAGUGUGGAUUGUUCGAAAUCAAGACGGAACGAAGAAUAACAAACUAUGAAACGAGAAGUGAAAAUCUAAUAUUUGAGUAUAAAUAAUUCGAAUUCGAUGAUCUUUAAUCUAUAAGCUUCGACUUUUAGUCAUCGAUGAAUCAAAAAUGAUUCGAAGACAAAAUUUCGAAUUGAUCGAAUACCAAAAAUAUGCGCAAUCGAAUCAUAAAAUGUGUUUAUUUCGGUAAAAACUCUGUUUGGUUAGUACUUUUUCUUUUUUUUCUUUUUUUUUUUUGGUACUUAAUGCGCUUCAUGAGUCAUUUUUCCGAGAGAUGGAUGAGCUAAAGCGAAAUAACUUUGAUAUAACGAAUGGAACACGUGAGAAGAAAUCUUAAAUUCCGUGACAUUUUCGCCAAUCGUAUUCUUCUUUUUCUUUUCCCCAUUUCGUUCCAGUGAUGCGACAGAUUGAACGAAACAAGUCGAGAAGUCGUUCAAUCCAAGUCGAAUCGAUUAAUCGAUUAAUUUCAUCAUUCAACCAUAUCUUGAAUUCCCGUUACACGUUUAUGCAUAAUCUAUGAAAAUUGAUCGGUAAAUUAUAGAUACGAAAAAAUUAUAGAUACAUUAAUCAUCGAUCGAAAGAUCUUACGAUUUUACUUUUUCAAUUGUGUUUUAACGCGUGAAAAGCCAAGUGACGACGAAGUUCUAUACACGUGUCGCGAAGAGAUAUUCAUUCUAUCGAAUAUAUACGUAUAUACGUGGACGUUGGCGAACGUGCAUUGUGCCUGGGUGAAAUGCGAGCAAAUAAAUAGUUGGAUGCCGUGGUGGCGAAAGUUUCGCGUGACAGAAAGCUCAGAUAAGGCUACGAGGAAGCAGCGUUUAUCGAAGAUCAGACGACAGACGACAUAUAUAUAUAUAUAUAUAUAUAUACCGCCACGCGAGUAGGUCAUGAGUAGAUUGUGAACAUAGCGGAAAAAUUAGCGCUGUUUCGUCGAGAAAAAAUUAAGUAGAAAUUGAAUUUUUGUUGAUCUUCAAAGAAAAUCAAAAUAUCUUUUAAUAAAAUUAACAGAAUUUGUAAUGGAAUUACGAUAACAAAAUUGAUGAUCUCUUUAUAAGAACGAAACAAUGACGAAUAAUUGCAUCUUCUCGUUGGAAUGACGAAGGCGUGACAACGUUCGUAUUGCUUCACGUCGAAUUAACGCCACUUUACGCGGUUUCCAGCGGCACCGAAGUGGGCAUAAAGAGACGGUAAAAAUACGACGAUUAUUUUCGGAACGAGUCAUGGAACCCGGUUGCUGCACCAAUCAAGAACUUCUGGCUCUGGCGAAGCUGCUUCAACUAUACACAUGGGUCGCUUGAUCAUUUGUUCAUCCAUGAACGAAGAAAGUGUGCGUGAACGACAGAUCCUUGAAUAUCGCAGCGGUAGCCCGACUUCGACUUCGAUCUGAUCAUAUUUUCCUCGUCAGGUGUUGGCCUAACGACCUCGCAUAUACCUAACCUAAUUUAUCUUUUCUGUUUUUUUAUCAUUAAUUAAUCACGAAUUUUAUCACGCUUUGUAAACAACGUGUCAAUAAUUUUUCACGAUGUCUUCGAACAACUAUUACGAAAAAUUGCUUAAAACAAUCGAUUGAAAUACUUUUGGCAAGUAAGACAACAUGGUUUACGUAACCCAUGGAAUAUGGUCAAUAAUUGAAGUUGAGAAUCGAGGUAAAAUCAGAGAACUGCUUUCGUUGCGAAUAAUUAAUAUCGAUCGCGGUUCAAUCCGCGAAUGUUUGAUGUUUGUUCAAGUUGGUGAUCCCAUAUAUUAUUGAGUGUAAAAUGAAAAACUUUUUCAAAACUUCGACUCGGAUACACGAUAAAUGCUAUUGUUAUCCGAAUCUGAAAGGGGGCGCUUUUUUACGAGCGGUCAAAUAAUGUCAAGUAAUUCGUACAUACUACUACUAGAUGUUAUAUUUACAUUUAUGCGUAUGAAUUUCACAACUUCUUUUUUACAGAUGAAAAAGAUAUUUUUUACAAUUACUAAAUUUGAUUUCAACUUGAAUACUUGAUUCUUUGAAAAAUGACUAGUAAUUUAAAAUUAAUAAUUCAAUAAUCGAAAUUUUUCAUCUCGAUCUUUAAUAAUUUUAACCUUUUCAUAACCUAUAUAUAUCAUAGCAAAUUGAAAUAUUUUUUUCGACUUUCUAAGAGAUAUUCAUUUAACUUUGAAUUUUCAAUGUCACGUUACUUUACCUUACUUAAAGACAGCACAAAGAAAAAAGACUAUUGUUCGCAAAAGUUUGUUCCACAGUAUUCGUAUGUAUGCAUAUUACGCAUGUAUACAGAUACUUAUGUAUGCAUAUAGAAGUUUAAAAUGGUGCAAUUUCCAUAGUGAGAGGAUUCUUUGGAACGAUGGAAAUACAAGAGAGUGACGUAUAAAAAGAAAUUAGAAAGAAGCACACUUGUGCGUGCAUCUACACACAAGGAUGAUGGGCCGAAGGAACAAAAGAUAAGAGAAGAAAAACAAUGUGCUUUCUAACGGGCUAAUGUCGUAGUACAUAUAAAGUAGAGUAUGGAAACUUGGCUGUGUUUUCACUCCGCGACUUGAACGAUCAGCAAAUAUCUCUCGGCAAACAUUUCCUUUUUAACACAUCAUAUUCUUUCGUAGAAGCAACGAUUUAUGCUCGUGCAUUUCUUUCAACGUUACGUUUAUUUUGAUCGCAAAAAUCUCUAACAAGUAGCAAAGUUGGCGCAUGCUAUUAGUACAUGCGCACACUUAACCUAACCUAACCUAAUUUGCACAUAGUUAUUCGCGAAUAAUAAUAGAUAUCGUACGAUUCGAUUUCCGGGAUAAAAGUCUGACAUUCACAUCCGUUUAUAAUAAUUAUAAUAGCAACAAGAAAGAGGAAACCGAGUCAUCGAAAUUUAUGAUUCGUGUCUUGCCUUAUCCUGAUCAUAAACGGAAGGAAUCGUAAACCAAGCGAGACCGAAACUGCAUAGAAAUCGUACAUCUGAGAAAAGAUACCGGUAGAGUCACGUUCGUCUCAUAAAAUCGACCCACGUCGCGGUGCUUAGCACAGCCACACCACAGUGUGCUCUUCUAAACGAGAGAAGACGAAUCAAUUGAAAUUCAUUAAAGUUCAACCACAAACCGAGAUCUCGCGUAUAUGAACCGAGGAUCGGACAGAGGGCGCUCGUAGUUCCAUCAAUCGGCUAUAUUAUUCGAACAGAAAUUGUUAAUUCCGUAACAAUGAACGUCGCGUACCAGUGUUAAUUUUUAUCUCGUGCAAUAAGGUUCUCGACACUUGAGGAUGGUUGAGUCACCACGUAUAAGACAUCUUCUACGAUAAGUAUAUACAUAUACAUAUACAUAUAUAUAUAUGUGUAACGAUAGUAACGAAACAGAGAAAGAAAGGCAGAAAGAUUUCACGCGGUCAGCGUCAAUAUGUGGCAUUAAACAUGCUGAAAAAGGAUGUUAAAGGAUAAUGGGGAUAAUGUCGAAAGACGUGGAUGAGGCAAAGCGAGCUAGUCGUUUCUCACGUGGUUGCUUACAAUGGCUAAUAGGUACGUACACAUAUAUGUGCGCAUAUGUAGAUUCGUGUGUACAAUCAGGGAAGAAGAAAACCAGGAACCAGACGGCUGUCUGGCCGCUUUGCGCCGCUUGUUCCACGGGAAAACUUUACUAAUGAAAGUAGCGUAAUUGGUCGGUAACUAAAUCAUGUUGUAUGGUCAAAAUCACGAUUCUCUAAUUUUCGUUUAAAUUACCUCGAUAAGCAGACUUUCGAGAAUGUUAACUUACUUCAUCGCGAAUGCACGACCAUCAUGCGUUAUUAUUCUAAUUCGUUGAAAUUGGAAUAGAAAUCAAAUAACAUCGAAUUGAAUUUAAAUUUUGCAAUUAACUUCAACAUGAGAAAUAUACAUAUAGGAAGAUAUAGAAUAAAGAGUUAAAAAUUAGAAGUAAAAAAAGAAAAAAUUAGCGGAAAGAGGAAGAAGAAGGAAAAAAGAGGAACAACUGUUCGAUAAAGAAGACUGAAAAAUGAUGUGUAGGCUGUACGUCUGAGUAGCCACAGACGUUAUUUGUCUAGCUUUUACGCUUCAAUGGAAGGAAUCUUAGUGAGGAGAAUUUCGUGCUGCUCUUUUUGAAUUUUAAAAAUAGAAAAUUGAAAAAAGUAGAAAAUAAAAAAAUAAUCGAAACAUCGAUACUCGGAUGAUAGAACGAUUAGUAUACCGAUAAGUAGAUAAAUCUAAACGAGGUUAACACACAUGCAUACGCAUAUAAGAAUACACGAGCACGUAUGUACAAUAGGUCUGAUUAACGAGGCCUGUAAUUAAUUGCUCUUCUAUCUCACAAACUCUACCGGAAAAGAGAAACGCGAAUCCUUGGUAUUUUUAUCGGCAAGUAGCGUUAAUUACCGUGGUAAAAUUACCGAUAUCAUCUUGAUAAUCCAGUUAAAACAUUACCGACUGUAAAAUUAUUUCCACCGGAAGCUCGAUUCGUCGUGCGUGCGAUUUCCACCAUUUUUUUUAUCCCAACUGAACUUUUACAUUGAAAUAUGACUCUUGAAUUUUUUCUAAUUCAUUUUUACUUACUUGUUCGAAAUCUGAAGAGAAAAAAAAACAGUGAAAAAGAAACACGAGAGAAUAAACCUAGCCGACUUAUCUAUCAACAGAGGUAAAGGACUAGCUGAUAAGAUAACGUAUCGCGAAGGAUAAACAGUGGCUCAUGACAAUAGUAGUCGUGCAUCCCGAAGCUUCCGGUUUCGCCCAUGAAAAUAAAGCAUCCCGUAAUGUGAGAUAACGACACACAUUUUCGUAGAUGUGGUUUUAUCGCUUUGCUUAUUAAAUUAAAAAAAAAAAAAUAAAAAAGAGGAAGGAAAAAAAAAAUCGAGGAAGAAGAAAAUCUAGCGUACGUCCUCGACGUCACGAUUAAUUAAGGACAGAAUCGCGUGACCGGAAACGAAUGAGAACCGUACCGAGUGAACUAUGUAAGCAUAAUCCCUCUGUUUCCAUUUUGCACCACGAUCCCGUAACGUUCUAGACCGAGAAAAAAAAGAUUUAGGAAUAUCGAUUAUUGCGUGUAACUAACAAUUUCAGUCGAAUCAAAGGUAUAUAUAAAAAAAAAAAAAACGAAAGCGAAAGCGAAGCGUGGCGAGUAUCGAAAUAGGCGUGAAUUAAUUUCGAUUACUUUCGAUCACGUAGGAGGAUUCUAUUCGAGUGGAAAAAAUGGCAGGAUGACGUGAAACGUUUGAAAGAAACCAUCAAAUUUCGAUUAUGCGUGCCCAAAAACAGAUACUUACAUACACACACACACAUAUAUAUAUAUAUAUAAGCAAAAGAAUCGAUGAGUUAUCGCAUAAGAAAAAUUUGCUGAACGCGUAACAUUUUGCAGGUUAUUUCUUAUACGAGUCGAGAACCAAGUGAGAAGAGGAGUACGAGACCACGAUAGAAAUUGCGCUCGAUAAAACACGCUUCCUAUUAUUUUUGUGUUUCUUUAAACGGCCGUCAAAAGAAUUUUUAUUACGACACAAUGCGCCACUCGAAGAGAAAUUUAUCUCUCUUGUGUACCGGUUGAAUGCUCGUAGACGGUGCAUUUCGGUCCGUUUAUGAGCACAGAAUGGGAUUUACAUACACAUGCAGAGACACGCGAGAUCCCGCCACCCCUAUUUAAUUCCAUAUUACCCUUCCUGAAAGGAACAAAAAGAAAAGAGAGAGAGAGAAAAAAAAAAAGAACGGAUGUGAGAUCCGGUUCGAGGUCGAUUUACGUGUUCAAGACUCGAGAGCGUGUGACAUGACCAUUAAAACACAAUAGAUUAUUUCGAAUCGAGGGAACUUUUAUAUAUGUGAUUAAUUUCAUGAAAAUGCACGUGAGAAUUUGUAAUUGACUUCCUUAGUUUUGUCAAAAAGCAAAUAGUCAAUCCGUUGUCAACUUCGAUAUGUAAUCAAAAUCUAUUUUUAUCAUAAAAGAUCGUACAAUUACGAUAUAUGUAUAUUAUAUAUACGCAAUAUGUAAAAAGAUACAAUUCUCUCUUCGCUCGAUAUUUAAUCGCGAUGAAUGCAAUAGAGCAUGAUAGAUAAUAUAUAUUUAUAGUUGUAAUAAUAAGUAAAAUAAAAAUAAAUCCUCAUUGCAGUGUAAUAUUUUAAUUUUUAUAUAGAGUAUUCGAUAAACAAUUUCAACGUCGAUACUAUUGUCUAUAGAAAUAUAUCCAUCAAAAUAUUACAUCAUUUUUAAGUAGAUAUAAUAGAUAUACGUAAUAUAUUAUAUAUUCUCUUAUAUGAGAAAUUCCAAUAAAUUGUACGUAUACUAUAUAUAUAUGUAUGUAUAUAUGUGUGUGUGUAUAUAACAGCGAUGACGAUACGUGCCAAUUGGAAGUGCAAAAGUAAUCUGUAGGUCAACUUGCUAGGAAAUUCAUUUAAUAAAGAAGAACGAGACAAGGUGCCGUUACGAUUGAUCGAGGACGACUUCUCGAUUGCUGCUUUCAUUUGUAUUGAGCGCAGCCUAACUCGACGAUCCAAUAAUCGAUAGAUUCAUAUAAAAUUUUUUUUUUCACUGUCAAACAUUUUGCUUCUCUUUUUAUUUUAUUUUUGAGUUUGAUGAAAAAGAAUUUUCGCUAAAAUGAAUUGUAGAUAACGAAGUUAUAUACCAUAUAUAAUAUAAUAUAAUUUUACUUUUGAUUAAAUUUAUCUCAUAUAAUGGAUUAUCGAACAAUGAUUAUGUAAUAUCUUCGAGAACGAAAUCGAUAGAUAUUGUUUUUACAAUUCUCUUUCCCAAUAAAAUUCUUAAGGCAAUAAGCAAAUGAAGGAUGACAAUACCAUUUCUUUUUCCUCUCAAAAAACAGAUUCGCGUAAAAAUAAAAGUAAAAACGAUACAAUGCACAAGAACCGCAAAUUUGUAAAUAUAAAAAGAACAAUCGCGACGAGUAUACGAUUGUGAAGUAAAAAAAAAUGAUCGAUAAAUUUAAUUACAUGCAUCAUUCAUUCUUUCUCCGACUGCUGAAAUUCUUAACUUGGUAUCAUCAUCACAAAAUCGUCAAAUCGUUGAUACAAAGAUAAAUGAUAAGAUAAUAAAAGAUGGAUGAAAGAUCGGUAAAUAUAUCGAGAGAUCUGGAUUAUGAUUAACAAUAUGUUUGCAGUUAUAUAUCAUUUAUAUCAAACAAUUUUUCUACUCUGCAAUUAUAAUUUUAUGAAAACAUGCGAUUUUGAGCGUUAUAAAAAUUCCCAUCUCAAAAUAUUUAGUUAAAAUAUUAUGAGUAUCCGUUUGUCAUAGGUUCGAUUUAAUGAUUUUUUAAUUCGACAUACAAUAUUGAUAUUUUGAUAUUCAUGUAUUCCUCGUUAUUAUAAUUAAUAAAUUAUAACAAUUAAUAUUCUUUUUUCUUCUCGUAUAAAAAUAAAAAACUAAAAUAUAUUAAAACAGAUUAUGAUUCGGUGAGAUUAAAGUAUGACCUAUAUUUAUUAUAUUUUCUAUAUAUGUAAUUAAACGUUCGAAUGAAAGUUUACCAAUAUCGAAAAAUCAAAAAUAAAGAUAAAUAGAAGAUGAUACGAUGUAUUCGAUAGAUUAUAUGCAUAGAUUAAAGAUAACUUCCAGAAGAUACAUAGGAUAGUAAGAUACAUGGAAGAAGGAAAACCUUUCUCUCACAUAAUGAUUAUUCAAGGCAUUCCAUGUGUCAUCCGACAACAGCAUCAUUUUAUGUAACACGAUUCGUGUAAUCGUGAUCCUUUUUCGCCGGUGUAACUAACACACAGGGAGGCUCAAAGAUGGCCACUUCUGUCUUUCGCUUAUCAAAGUUUUCCACACGUUAUUUAACUGACUAUACUUCAUUUCUAUUACGAUCUUUUAAUUGUCCGAUCAAAAAUAAAAUAAGGAUUAAUUAUCGGUACUUACGAUAACGACGAAUCCCGUAAUAUUCCAGUGAUCCGCUUCGGAAGCACUUCUGUAUCAAAGACAAAUCCACCACCUGAUCUCAAAUUUUCGAGAUCGAGAAGCUCGUUUCACUAAUUGGAUCAACUUUACACUCAAUUGUUUUAACGAAAAAUAGACAGAUGCUUGGCAUACGAUUCAAAAAUCAACAAAAACACUGUGUCGGAAGAGAAAUCGUAAAUAAUACGCGAAGCACACGACUCAUCCGUAAAUUCGAUCGGUUUCGAUCAGUUGUCGUAAACACUGGCCGCCAUAUUCCUUCAGCACCUGUCAAUAUCAGCGAAUAUUACUGCCAUCUUGCGGCAAUUGUAUCGAUGUAAAUAUUAACGCCAUCUAUCAGUAUUCAUACAUAAUAUCGUUUCAAUUUAAAUUAUUUAUCUACUGUCGCUUAUUUUAAUAAUUAUUUUAUCGACGUAAAAAAUAUUGUUGAAUAAUUACAUUAUUUUUUACCUAAAAAUAUCCAUAUAUAGUUUAUUAUUGACAUUUGAAGCAUGUAUAUUAAUAUCGAUACAAAAAGGAUUGUCAAAUGUUUGAUUGAAUAAAUAAAAGUAUACAAUGAUAAGAUAAUUAUGGUAUAAACAAUCACAUGUCAGAAAGAGGGAUAUACGUACAUAUAAUAAUUAAAUAUGUACUUUCUUAUAAUAAUUGGAAUAUAAAUGCAUUUUGGAACUAUUCGUGUUACGUAGUAUUAGCGAUAAAUGAUGAAAGGAUGAUAUGAUAAUUAAGAAUAAUACUAAAAUAAAUAAAAA
This is a long non-coding RNA of Apis cerana (Asiatic honeybee), 8841 nucleotides long. RefSeq lists it as uncharacterized. The record is from RefSeq and is a predicted model, not a curated record. Lineage: Eukaryota; Metazoa; Arthropoda; Insecta; Hymenoptera; Apidae.